AUCCCGCCUGCAUCUCCAGCUGCGCACCUAGAGAAUCAUUAAAGCCAGUGCCAUGUGGCUGUGUUGCGGGUAAAUGAGAUAAUGCAAACCUCAUAACAAGUGCUCGUUCACCUCGCUUCUCCUCCCUCCCAGGUAUGGGGAGGCACCGUCUUACCAGGGGGAGCCCCGUGCCACCAUCACAUGUUGCGGUGGCCACGCGACAACAUGGAGGACAACUCAGCCAUGCUGAGACAACACAUACAUAUACAGAAAAUGACUAGAAAGAACAACAUCAAAAUGAGUACCUUAGUUGAAUUUGGGUAGAGAAAUUAUAGGUGGUUAUUUUUCUGUUUUUGUAUUUUCCGAGUAUCCUAUUAUAUGGUUAUGUUACUUUUAGAAAUGUAAUAUUUCAUGGCAAACAAGUAUUUUACUUUAAAAUUGCAUUGAACAAAAAGUGUUAAACUUCAAAACCUAAACAGCAUCUUUAUAGAUUCUCUAUCAAAUGGAGUUAAUUUUAAAAUUCUAGAAUAUAUUCUGAAGCACUAGGUUCUUCUUAAUUCUAACACUUAACCUGGGAGAAGUAAUUUACUCUGAGAGCUGCAUUCUUCACCUAUGAAGUGGGGCUAGUUUUAACUCACAGUUGUGAGGAUGAAAUGAGAUAAUAUGUAAGUACCAUGGAGAUGGAUCAUGUUUUGAAAACUUCAAAGUUUGCAAAGAUAUAAAUAUAAACCCCUUAAAUACCAGAAGAAAAAAUUUUAAAUGUUUAGUAGCUUGAACUCCAACAUUAGAUAGACCUAUAUUCAAAUUUUAGCUCUGCCACCGACAACCUGGAUGACUUUGGGCAACUACUUCACCUUCUCACUACAGUACCUUCUCAGCAGUGUGGGGGUAAUGACCACAUGCCUGUGUUGCUGUGAAAAUUAAAUGAGAUAAGUAACUUAUGUAUAGCACAGUGCUUGUCACAAAAUAAUGGCUCAUUUAAUGUUACCAAUUAUUAUAAUCCUCCUUAAAACCACUUCUGCAGUUAAUGAAACUGAAUAUUAUUAUUAACAUCUCAAUCACUGUUUCACAUUAAGAUACAAAAAUAGAAAAGACAUUCCCUACCCUUAAGGUUCUCACAGUCAAUAAAAGAAAUGGAAAUAUAUUUCAAAGAUCAUAGGAGACUACAAUAACUAAUAAAAUCAAAUUUUAUAUCUAUUACUAUGAGAAUAAAGACAAAGGGGAACAGGAUUGGUUACAAUGAGGAAUGUAUCAAAAUCUCAAAGGAGAUGAUAUUUUAGUUGGAUCCUGAAAGACUGGGUAUGAUUUUGUCCAUUAAUGAAGGAAAAAUACAAAAUUAAAAAUCCAAGCCAGGCAUGAUGGCACAUGCUUGUAAUCCCAGCUACUCAGGAGGGUAAGGUGGGAGGAUCAUUUGAAUCCAAGAGUUCGAGUCCAGGCUGGGCAACCUAGCGAGAUCCCAUCUCUUAAAAAAAAAAUCUAUACAGUGCUCAGGCCAUUGAGACUUGUCUCAUCAGAUGGAACACUGAGAGGGGAAAGGCUGGCUGUAAAAAGAAGAAAUAUUAUGAUCUAAUUGUGAAGAGCUUUAUAAAAAUGCCCUGCCCCAUUAUUUGGACUUUAUGCACAAUAGGGAAAUCAAAAGAGGAUUAAAGAACACAAUCAGACCUAAAAUUUAGAAAAAUAACUGGUAAAAUUAGGUUGACUUAACAGUGCCAGGAAAGACUUCCCAGGGAUGACAUUUGGAAGAAGAGUCUGGGAAGGUCAUCCCAGGUGGCGUGUGGGAGACACAGACCUGAGGACCUGCCAAGCGCAUCUCCGGCUUCUGGAGCAUAGCAGAGUGGGGGCAGCGGAGGUGAUGUGGAAGACACGGGCCAAGACAGCGACACCUUUGCCCAGGAAUGUGGGCUUCAAGGGCAAGAGAGAAAGGCCUGCGAUGGUAGAGCGAUCUGAGAAGAUGACGUUGUGGAAAAACAGGGGCUGGAGGAACAGGCAGGAAAUCACAAGAGUGAAAACUCAGCCCAGAAGAGGGAAGAGCAGAUGGACUCAAGAGACAUUUGAGGGGACCAUUCAGUCUAGCCUGGGAGGGAAAAAAAAUGAAACUGCAAAGAAAUGUCAAGCACAUGACCGCAGCUAGACAAUCCAAGGCAAGAUGAAUGUCAGAAGAUUUUGGCUUCCUGGAAAAAACUCACCAUGGACUUUGGUUAUUCAGAAUUAGCUACUUCUUCUGUAAGGCUAUCAGGAACUAUGGACCUCACAACAUGAAGGAAAAUAAGCCUUGGCAUCAUUUAAGGCUAUACCGAUGAAGCAAGGAGAGAAAGGAACACUUAACGACAAGCCGCGAUACAAAAGGAGAAGGUGUGUGCAAUCCUGUUUAACAACCUUCGCAUCUUUUGUCACAGUUUAACUUGCGCACACACGUACACACAUAAGUGUUGCGAUAAUCCAACAGACGUCUGCACCCGGCACUGUGGGGUUAAUUCUCUGACUCCCACACAGCAGGUGGUCACAAUCUAACAGCAAUAUUUACUAGGAGAGUCUGACAGCUUCCUAGGGAACAUCCCUAGAGCUUCUAGAAGGAUGCUACACGUGAGAUCUAGAAAGAUGCUACACGUGAGAAAAACGAAUAGUCUGAAAAACUGAAAUGUUUCAGUCAAGCUUACAUGAUUUUAUAAUUUUUAAAAACAAAUCCAAAGAACAGUAUUUUAUUUCAGCGGUCUUCUAUGAGCAAUUUGAUAUACAAAAACUGUUUUCUUAAAAGUCUCAACCAUAAGAAAAUACUUUUUAUUCUUUGAGAUUUCUUUAAAUGUUUUUAUUAUCAACAUCACCUCUCUGUAAUUUGUAUUUAGCUACCACACCUCAAAUUAUUUGCUUUAAUUAAAACUAUAAUAAUUAAAA
This is a long non-coding RNA of Lemur catta (Ring-tailed lemur), 2871 nucleotides long. RefSeq lists it as uncharacterized. The record is from RefSeq and is a predicted model, not a curated record. Lineage: Eukaryota; Metazoa; Chordata; Mammalia; Primates; Lemuridae. The transcript is spliced from 3 exons.